UGAAAGAGAAGGAAAAGAUCAGGUAAGUACAUGGGCUUAUGCAAGACCUGGUUUAGAAAGUGAAAUGAGACGCUGGGCUCCAUGAGAGCGCUCUCUUGCUCAUUAAACAGAAGUGAACAAAAGGGUAAGUUUUUUUCUACUUAAUGUUAACGGUCUUAGACAGAUGUUACUUGGCAAAGACUCUUCCCCAGCCUACUUCGGCGACUUCUUUUAAGUCUGAUCCCUGCACGUCUCUGCUAAGAGAGCUUCUGCUUUGAUGCUAAGUCCUGAGAUUGUAAAGCUGUUUAAUAGCUGAGCAGCUGCUUACGUAUGGCUGUGGCUCCCAGCCAGCACGCUAUAAGGGAAAUGCCUGAUGUGCAUGGAAAGAUGGGCCACCCAGGGUGCAGGAGACACCUGGCAGACAGAGCAGCAUAUGGUACCUAUACAUCAAAACGGUGACUGAGGCAUUGUAGGGCUGGGGAUGGAAAGGUCCCUGCCUGCCCUGUGACAGGUGCCACGGUGGGGCUGGGUGCAGGGGUGCUGGGGGCUCAGUUCACAUUUAAACCCAGUUCAAGAUGUUUUAAGAACACACCAUAUCACCCCCAAGGUCCAGCUGAAUGGUGUCCUUCAGCAGGAGGUCACCAGGCACAGCACUGGGGACUGACGUCACCCAUGGCACCGCACUGUCUGGUUAUGGGCAGAGGCGCUUGAGGGCUGUGGAUGCAAUGUGGAUGGCCGUUCCUUUUAGCACCAAGGCCAAAGAAUCAGGACCAAAAGAUCUGCAUCCCGUGCUCUAAAGAGAGAUGUCAAUGUAGGCUGUAAUCCUGCAUCACCCACCUGAGGACACUUCUUUGAUGCUUGGCCCAAAAGUGUCUGAUGCAGAUGCCGGUGAAGGCAGUGGGGGCUUUGCUAAGGCACCAGGAUUUCAGCUGGUGGGUUACAGUCCCCAAACCAGGUGCCAACACCAUCCUGCAGUGUGUGAAUUCCCCGAGGUGAGAGCAGCCACCCCAGGAGCCGUUCCCCACUUACUAACCCAGCACCUUUGAGGUCCAAGCCCCACCUCUCCCCAGCAAGGAGCACGGCUGUGUCCAGCUCACCACAGGCACCAGCCCCUACAAAACACCCUUCCUGCACCUCCAGCUAAUGGCUGCAAGUGUUACCCUUAAUUAGCACACUGCUGAUUGCCUUUAAUUGCCGGCUGUAGCUCAGCACUGAGCAGGAUGAGAGCUGGCUGUCAGCAAAAAAAAGGACUCAGCUGGUCCUUGACGAGGAUAAACAUCCUGCGAGCCUUGUGCAAGGCGACUGGUGCUGCUGGGAAAACAUCCCUUCAGAGGAGAGACCGAAGUACCCAAACCUCCCACUGAACCCGCUUUCAGGUACCCGCCUGGCCUCAUCAGUUCCUGGAGAGACGCACACAGAUUUUCACCUUUUCACUGUUUCCAUUUUGCAAUAAGUUUUUCCCUGCCUAGGAAGCAUUGGGCAACUUCUUCCUCUCCCAACCCCCUGCUAUUACAUGCUUAGUCAUGUCUCCUCCUUGAUUCCUAUCAGAGAGAACAAAUUUGCAUGAUUGUUUGUUGACAGCAAGACCUCUAAUUGCAUCAUUUGGCUGCAGCUCCAGCUCUGAUUUACACAGCCUGUUGCCAUGAGUUAAAACACUUCCCUACCAGAGAUACACAAAGCUGUCCCCAAACAGCUAAUGCUCCAUUUGUCUUUCGGGAGAAGGGAGGCUGCUCCGUGCGCACGGGCGAUGGGAAGCAGUUGGGAAUGGCCCAUGAGGAAGGUCUGUGCAUUGCAACGAGGCUACGGCAGCCACGUCCCUCAUCGGGGAGCAGCUCUUGAGGUCCCAGCUGAUUCUGGCAUUCUCAUUUGAACACUGCCCAUCUGAUGCCACUUGAUGAGGAAGCACGUGGAACCACAGGACCAAAUCCAUUUAAUGGGGAAAGAAGCCCAGCGCACUGUAAUGGUGUUUUGAGAUGUUAUAAUCACGACUGCCACCACCAAAUGCCCUCAUUCAAUGUCACCCUUAUCUCAUAGUUCAGAGAAUUUCUCAGAAUUUCAGAAAAUAGCACCUCUACCUACAAAACACUCAAUUAUCAGCAUGAUGGUGAUAAUAGGUGAUUGUCAUCUGUAAUGAGGAAAGCUUUCAGAACUGUCAGCACCCAACCAGCCUCCUAUCUACCUCGGAGUCAUCCUUCCAGCCUCCUGAAAGGAUCUUGGAAAAGAAAUGACAAGCAAGUAGAUGUUAUGCAGCUUGUGAGCAGCAUUUCAGGGGGAGAAAGGGCCAGGAUGCAGAUCGCUGACUUCUGUUGGUCUUACAAGCGAGGCCACAAAGCCCAGCAAGGACUUUGCUCCAAGUCCACUGUACAAGACACAGCAUCCAUCAGCAAGAAGCAGUGCAGGUCCAUCAGCCCAGGGAGCUGCCACCGCCCUGGGUCGCGUUCUCAGCUUUGCUGCCAGCCUGUUCCCUGACCUUGGGCAAGUCUCCUCCAUCCCUCCCGGUGCUAUUGUGCACCGAUCAUAAUAACAGUCUUUCUUAUAGCACCGAGGGUGGUGAGGAUUAAUGUAUGGUGAGAAAGUGCUUGGAUAUCCAGAUAAAAGGCAUUACAGGAGUGCAAACUA
Falco peregrinus (peregrine falcon) is the source of this 2598-nucleotide long non-coding RNA. RefSeq lists it as uncharacterized. Lineage: Eukaryota; Metazoa; Chordata; Aves; Falconiformes; Falconidae. The transcript is spliced from 2 exons. The record is from RefSeq and is a predicted model, not a curated record.